RNAcentral lists this RNase P RNA (341 nucleotides) under Dethiobacter sp. RNAcentral describes it as "partial RNase P RNA component class A". It matches the Rfam family "Bacterial RNase P class A". From Rfam's summary of the family: Ribonuclease P (RNase P) is a ubiquitous endoribonuclease, found in archaea, bacteria and eukarya as well as chloroplasts and mitochondria. Its best characterised activity is the generation of mature 5'-ends of tRNAs by cleaving the 5'-leader elements of precursor-tRNAs. Lineage: Bacteria; Bacillati; Bacillota; Dethiobacteria; Dethiobacterales; Dethiobacteraceae. The record is from RNAcentral.
AUUGUCCUCGAGGAAAGUCCGAGCUCCAUAGGGCAGGAUGCUGGGUAACUCCCAGUGAGGGUGACCUCAAGGAAAGUGCCACAGAAAUUAAACCGCCAAGCAGAGCGGGAUAUCCCGCUCUGCUUGGUAAGGAUGAAACGGUGCGGUAAGAGCGCACCAGCGGUCAGGCGACUGGCCGGCUAGGCAAACCCCAUCCGGAGCAAGACCAAAUAGAGGAGAGUUGACGUUGCUCGCCGAUCUCCCGGGUUAGGUCGCUAGAGGUGUCAGGUAACUGCCAUCCCAGAGAGAUGAUUAUCGCCCCGCAAGGGGAACAGAACUCGGCUUACAGGUCUGCUUUGUAU